UACGUAGGGGGCGAGCGUUGUCCGGAUUUAUUGGGCGUAAAGAGCUCGUAGGCGGCUCGUCGCGUCGACCGUGAAAUCCCGCAGCUUAACUGUGGGCUUGCGGUCGAUACGGGCAUCACUGGAGUUCGGCAGGGGAGACUGGAAUUCCUGGUGUAGCGGUGAAAUGCGCAGAUAUCAGGAGGAACACCGGUGGCGAAGGCGGGUCUCUGGGCCGAUACUGACGCUGAGGAGCGAAAGCGUGGGGAGCGAACAGG
RNAcentral lists this ribosomal RNA (254 nucleotides) under uncultured bacterium. RNAcentral's name for it is "partial 16S ribosomal RNA". It matches the Rfam family "Bacterial small subunit ribosomal RNA", at positions 524 to 776 of the family's 1533-position model. The record is from RNAcentral.